GAUGAACGCUGGCGGCGUGCCUAAUACAUGCAAGUCGAGCGAACAGACGAGGAGCUUGCUCCUCUGACGUUAGCGGCGGACGGGUGAGUAACACGUGGAUAACCUACAUAUAAGACUGGGAUAACUUCGGGAAACCGGAGCUAAUACCGGAUAAUAUAUUGAACCGCAUGGUUCAAUAGUGAAAGACGGUUUUGCUGUCACUUAUAGAUGGAUCCGCGCCGCAUUAGCUAGUUGGUAAGGUAACGGCUUACCAAGGCAACGAUGCGUAGCCGACCUGAGAGGGUGAUCGGCCACACUGGAACUGAGACACGGUCCAGACUCCUACGGGAGGCAGCAGUAGGGAAUCUUCCGCAAUGGGCGAAAGCUUGACGGAGCAACGCCGCGUGAGUGAUGAAGGUCUUCGGAUCGUAAAACUCUGUUAUUAGGGAAGAACAAAUGUGUAAGUAACUAUGCACGUCUUGACGGUACCUAAUCAGAAAGCCACGGCUAACUACGUG
RNAcentral lists this ribosomal RNA (497 nucleotides) under uncultured bacterium. RNAcentral's name for it is "partial 16S ribosomal RNA". It matches the Rfam family "Bacterial small subunit ribosomal RNA", at positions 28 to 507 of the family's 1533-position model. The record is from RNAcentral.